Molecule: ribosomal RNA, 478 nt
Filed under: uncultured bacterium
Lineage: Bacteria
Description: partial 16S ribosomal RNA
Rfam family: Bacterial small subunit ribosomal RNA
Source: RNAcentral
GACGAACGCUGGCGGCGUGCUUAACACAUGCAAGUCGAGCGAUGAAGUUCCUUCGGGAAUGGAUUAGCGGCGGACGGGUGAGUAACACGUGGGUAACCUGCCUCAUAGAGGGGAAUAGCCUUUCGAAAGGAAGAUUAAUACCGCAUAAGAUUGUAGUAUCGCAUGAUACAGCAAUUAAAGGAGUAAUCCGCUAUGAGAUGGACCCGCGUCGCAUUAGCUAGUUGGUGAGGUAACGGCUCACCAAGGCGACGAUGCGUAGCCGACCUGAGAGGGUGAUCGGCCACAUUGGGACUGAGACACGGCCCAGACUCCUACGGGAGGCAGCAGUGGGGAAUAUUGCACAAUGGGGGAAACCCUGAUGCAGCAACGCCGCGUGAGUGAUGACGGUCUUCGGAUUGUAAAACUCUGUCUUCAGGGACGAUAAUGACGGUACCUGAGGAGGAAGCCACGGCUAACUACGUGCCAGCCGCCGCAGUAA